GACGAACCGAGCGAACGUUAUUCGGAAUCACUGGGCUUAAAGGGCGCGUAGGCGGGUUGCCAAGUUCGGGGUGAAAUCCUCCAGCUCAACUGGAGAACUGCCUCGAAUACUGGUGAUCUCGAGGAAGGUAGGGGCAUGCGGAACUGUGGGUGGAGCGGUGAAAUGCGUUGAUAUCCAUAGGAACUCCGGUGGCGAAGGCGGCAUGCUGGACCUUUUCUGACGCUGAGGCGCGACAGCCAGGGGAGCAAACGGG
Molecule: ribosomal RNA, 253 nt
Filed under: uncultured bacterium
Lineage: Bacteria
Description: partial 16S ribosomal RNA
Rfam family: Bacterial small subunit ribosomal RNA
Source: RNAcentral